CAAGCUUGACAGGUAUCUCCAUAAAAGUGGCCAUCCAGGAAUGAAUGAAGUGUUCCCUUUCUGUUCCA
Molecule: non-coding RNA, 68 nt
Organism: Procavia capensis (Cape rock hyrax)
Lineage: Eukaryota; Metazoa; Chordata; Mammalia; Hyracoidea; Procaviidae
Source: Rfam